This 292-nucleotide ribosomal RNA is filed under the name uncultured bacterium. Its description in RNAcentral is "partial 16S ribosomal RNA". It matches the Rfam family "Bacterial small subunit ribosomal RNA", at positions 505 to 796 of the family's 1533-position model. The record is from RNAcentral.
GUGUCAGCAGCCGCGGUAAUACGAAGGGGGCUAGCGUUGUUCGGAAUCACUGGGCGUAAAGGGCGCGUAGGCGGCUUGGCAAGUCAGGUGUGAAAGGCCUGGGCUCAACCCAGGAACUGCACUUGAGACUGCCUCGCUUGAGUCCGGGAGAGGAUGGCGGAAUUCCCAGUGUAGAGGUGAAAUUCGUAGAUAUUGGGAAGAACGCCGGUGGCGAAGGCGGCCAUCUGGACCGGUACUGACGCUGAGGCGCGAAAGCGUGGGGAGCAAACAGGAUUAGAUACCCCUGUAGUCC